This 1314-nucleotide long non-coding RNA is filed under the name Heterocephalus glaber (naked mole-rat). RNAcentral's name for it is "lncRNA (ENSHGLG00100042274.1)". Lineage: Eukaryota; Metazoa; Chordata; Mammalia; Rodentia; Bathyergidae. The record is from RNAcentral.
GACCUUUUCUUCCUAUUUUGCAUUAUCGAUUAUUCAUUCUAAUCAUUGGUACAUUUUAGGUAUACAAUAUAAUGACAUUCAUCAUUGGAAAUUUGCACCUUUACAUAAUCUCUCUUGGUUCUUAUUUUUUGCCCUUGCCCAGCCCUCCCUGCAACCCCUCCAUUACCUCCCUAUUUACAAAGAUUUUGUUCCUAUUUUUCCAUUUUCUCAUAUUAAUCCCAUUCCUUUCUAUCCUUUCUCCUAGCCCUCCCACUUCCUUCCCCUUUGCCCCUUUUCUUCCUAUCCUCAAGUAAACCUCAUCUUGAGGGAAAAUCCUUUGUGACCCUAAGACCCCCUCUGUUGUCCAUGCCUAUCAGGAAUCCGCCUGCUCCCCAGCUCCUGGUUGACCAACUUCCCAGCCCAUUCCACACCUCUGCACUUCUUGAAGCUUAUCCUUACUUUGUUGGAUUCUUCUAGAGUCAGUGCGCUCUCUCCCACCUGGCUAUGUGCCCAUACUGAGCCACCACCCUCUGGUGUGCCUAUUCUAGGAGUUUUCUCAACUUGCUAGGCCUUUUGCUGCUCCUCCACCCAGGAUCCUAUCUUGAGCCACUUCUCGAUGUCCUCUCUCCCCAGGGGACCUGUGUGUGUUCCUGGGGACAAAACCCACUGCCACCUGCUCUGUGUUGACACCUGCUUAUGAUGAACCCUGGUGACAGUUGCAUUUUAACCUUCAGCCCAUAUUUCUCUUUUGAGCUACAGGACCCCUUUCAUCCUUUUGUUGGGCUAAUGAGAAGUAAUGCUUAGAAAGUAGCCAUGGUGAUCCCAGGCUUCACACUGAGGGAGGUGGCAGUGUAGAAGUUCUCCCCAGUGCUCACCUAGAGCUGCAGUCCUGGGAUGUAACCACCCCUGUGUCCUUGUCCUUGCUGAGGGACAGUCCCCAAGCCCCUUUGCUAGUGCUGGCUUUUGUGCUGAGCUAGGGGACCCGACCAAAGAUGAAAACAAAAUAAGCAGAACAACAACAAAAGUAAGCCGAGGCCCAUUGGUCUUCUUUUGAGAUUUUGGCCAGAACACUGAUGACUGUCCCAGUUAAACUCCGGGAGCUGAGCAGAGAUGUCCCCCAGAUUGGGAAAGAGGAAAGCUCAUUUAUGAACAGCAGUGGGCCAGGCCAGAGCCUCAGUCUCUACAGAGCUUCUGGUCCAAGUGCAACAGUAAGGCACUAGCAGUGAGACAGACCCAGCAGGAACCAACAUUGCGGAUAUCCUACAGCCAGUUGAAGACAGCUUUGUGUGGACCGUCAGUCAAUCUGUCAGAACGGGGAUAUAUGGGAGUAAGAGG